This 253-nucleotide ribosomal RNA is filed under the name uncultured bacterium. RNAcentral describes it as "partial 16S ribosomal RNA". It matches the Rfam family "Bacterial small subunit ribosomal RNA", at positions 524 to 776 of the family's 1533-position model. The record is from RNAcentral.
GACGUAGGGGGCCAGCGUUGUUCGGAAUUACUGGGUGUAAAGGGUUCGUAGGCGGGUCUUUAAGUCAGGGGUGAAAUCCUGGAGCUCAACUCCAGAACUGCCUUUGAUACUGAAGAUCUUGAGUUCGGGAGAGGUGAGUGGAACUGCGAGUGUAGAGGUGAAAUUCGUAGAUAUUCGCAAGAACACCAGUGGCGAAGGCGGCUCACUGGCCCGGUACUGACGCUGAGGCGCGAAAGCCAGGGGAGCAAACGGG